AUUGAACGCUGGCGGCAGGCCUACCACAUGCAAGUCGAACGAGUGGCGGACGGGUGAGUAAUGUCUGGGAAACUGCCUGAUGGAGGGGGAUAACUACUGGAAACGGUAGCUAAUACCGCAUACCAUCAGAUGUGCCCAGAUGGGAUUAGCUAGUUGGUGGGGUAACGGCUCACCAAGGCGACGAUCCCUAGCUGGUCUGAGAGGAUGACCAGCCACAAUGGAACUGAGACAGGGUGCAGACUCCUACGGGAGGAAGCAGGGGGGAAUAUGGCACAAUGGGAGCAAUCAUGAUGCAGCCAUGCCGCGUGGAGGAAGAAGGCCGUCGGGUUGUAAAGUACUUUCAGCGGGGAGGCGUUACCCGCAGAAGAAGCACCGGCUAACUCCGUGCCAGCAGCCGCGGUAAUAC
RNAcentral lists this ribosomal RNA (406 nucleotides) under uncultured bacterium. RNAcentral's name for it is "partial 16S ribosomal RNA". It matches the Rfam family "Bacterial small subunit ribosomal RNA", at positions 29 to 526 of the family's 1533-position model. The record is from RNAcentral.